RNAcentral lists this ribosomal RNA (471 nucleotides) under uncultured bacterium. Its description in RNAcentral is "bacterial SSU rRNA". It matches the Rfam family "Bacterial small subunit ribosomal RNA", at positions 355 to 825 of the family's 1533-position model. The record is from RNAcentral.
UGAGGAAUAUUGGACAAUGGGCGCAAGCCUGAUCCAGCCAUGCCGCGUGUGUGAAGAAGGCCUUCGGGUUGUAAAGCACUUUCAGCGAGGAGGAAGGGAGUUGUGUUAAUAGCACAGCUUCUUGACGUUACUCGCAGAAGAAGCACCGGCUAACUCUGUGCCAGCAGCCGCGGUAAUACAGAGGGUGCAAGCGUUAAUCGGAAUUACUGGGCGUAAAGCGCACGUAGGCGGUUUUUAAGUCAGAUGUGAAAGCCCCGGGCUCAACCUGGGAAUUGCAUUUGAAACUGGAAAACUAGAGUGUGUGAGAGGGGGGUAGAAUUCCAAGUGUAGCGGUGAAAUGCGUAGAGAUUUGGAGGAAUACCAGUGGCGAAGGCGGCCCCCUGGCACAACACUGACGCUCAGGUGCGAAAGCGUGGGGAGCAAACAGGAUUAGAUACCCCCGUAGUCCCUGAGCGGGCUGGCAAGGCGCAU